RNAcentral lists this long non-coding RNA (1377 nucleotides) under Sus scrofa (pig). Its description in RNAcentral is "lncRNA (ENSSSCG00055008263.1)". Lineage: Eukaryota; Metazoa; Chordata; Mammalia; Artiodactyla; Suidae. The record is from RNAcentral.
AGUAAGCUCUAGAGACCAAAUUCAAAAUAACACCGCUCUGCGAUGUUAAAAGUUGAUCCCAGGGGGUCACUGGGAAAUUCUUCUAGACUGAAGGAGACUGAAGAGACAUGACAUAAUCUGGAUGAGAUGCUUUGACUAUGGAGAACACUGUAGCCUGAUUUGAUUAGGGGGGCCUGAGUAGGAUCUAUGGACUGCAUGGUAGUAAUACAUAUUGUACCAGCUAUUGCUAAAGCAAAUUCCAAGACUCUACUCAUCUAGAUUGCUUUCUGAUAUCAUCAUAAAAUAAAAAAGUAUACUUAGAAUAUUUUCCAGUAACAUCAAUUUUACUUAUUUUAAAAUUGCAAAUUCUUAAAAAGGCAGCUUAUUUUGUGUGUCGCUCAAAGAAUUCUAUGUGUCUGACGACUUAAUGCUUUUGAUACAUAAGAGCUUGCAGGCAGGAAGUCUAUUCUUUCUGCAGAACAACAACCUAAAACUCUUUUUUUUUUUUUUUGAUAGUAAGCUCUAGAGACCAAAUUCAAAAUUCUGUUACUUUAAAAAUUCCAUUAAGCAAGAAUUGCUCUCAGAAAUAAAAGUAGGUAGGGCAUGUCUAUGGAUAUUAAUUAAAUUUUAUGAAAAUAAAAAUUCAGAAAUGCAGUUCCAAAUGUGACAGAACACACUAUAAAGGAUCCCUGCAGCUGUGAGGUUCAUGUUUUGUCCUUCAGGCAAUAGCAAGCAGUGUUUCUAUUAUUCUACCAAUCAGCCAGGGAACUACAGGUACUGAUGGAGUCUUGGUUCAGGGUCAUGAAACCAGAUACUCAGGAAGGUGCAAAUGAAAAAGACAAAUCAGGUCUUCAUUGUGGACUUCUAGUAACUUACCAUCCAAAAUUCAAAAGCUGGUAUUUUCAAUUAAAAACAGAAUGCCAAUGAGUGUGGAAAUAUGUAAACAUAUAAAAUACCCCCAAAUCUUUAACUCUGACUUAGGCCAAAAUAUAUUUCUCAGAGUGGGUUGUGGAGAAAAGGGAACCCUCCUGCACUGUUGGUGGGAAUGUAAACUGGUACAGCCACUAUGGAGAACAGUAUAGAAAUACCUUAGAAAUCUAUACAUAGAACUACCAUAUGACCCUGCCAUCCCGCUCUUGGGCAUAUAUCUGGACAAAAGUUUCCUUAAAAAAGACACAUGCACCUGCAUGUUCAUUGCAGCACUAUUCACAAUAGCCAAGACAUGGAAACAACCCAAAUGUCCAUCGACAGAUGAUUGGAUUCGGAAGAUGUGGUAUAUAUACACAAUGGAAUACUAAUCAGACAUAAAGAAGAACAACAUAAUGCCAUUUGCAGCAACAUGGAUGAAACUAGAGACUCUCAUACUGAGUGAAAUAAGUCAGAAAGACAAGUACCAUA